GAAGAAGCGAUUUGCCCUAUCCUCGUAGCAAAGCAGCCCGUCUUUUGCAAGUCUCAAUUUCACUCCCAAGAAUCCAAACUUCAAAUUUCAAGUUAUAUUAGAUGAAAGAAGAAUAUGUAAGUUUAAAUUUUUAUGGAAUCUACAAGAAGAAAAUCUGAUCCGUAUGCGUGUUGCUGGGUAUUUCCUUUCUAUUUGUAAAUUUCAAUUUUCAAUCCUCAAUAGGUCUGUGUACAAAUAUCAUCCAUGUACUGAUGGAAAAGCAGGUUUUCAUUAUUUAAACCUAAAUGCACGGAUAUAUCCUCGUUUUAUAUUUGAA
Molecule: long non-coding RNA, 316 nt
Filed under: Olea europaea (common olive)
Lineage: Eukaryota; Viridiplantae; Streptophyta; Magnoliopsida; Lamiales; Oleaceae
Description: long non-coding RNA (OEUR_LNC006596)
Source: RNAcentral